RNAcentral lists this transfer RNA (74 nucleotides) under Marmota monax (woodchuck). RNAcentral describes it as "tRNA.Ala". The stretch from base 4 to 69 matches the Rfam family "tRNA". Rfam says of the family: Transfer RNA (tRNA) molecules are approximately 80 nucleotides in length. Lineage: Eukaryota; Metazoa; Chordata; Mammalia; Rodentia; Sciuridae. The record is from RNAcentral.
GGGGGUGUAGCUCAGUGGUAGAGGGCAUAUUUAGCAUAUGUGAGGUCCUGGGUUCAAUCCCCCAGCACCACACA